RNAcentral lists this ribosomal RNA (497 nucleotides) under uncultured bacterium. RNAcentral describes it as "partial 16S ribosomal RNA". It matches the Rfam family "Bacterial small subunit ribosomal RNA", at positions 28 to 507 of the family's 1533-position model. The record is from RNAcentral.
GAUGAACGCUGGCGGCGUGCCUAAUACAUGCAAGUCGAGCGAACGGACGAGAAGCUUGCUUCUCUGAUGUUAGCGGCGGACGGGUGAGUAACACGUGGAUAACCUACCUAUAAGACUGGGAUAACUUCGGGAAACCGGAGCUAAUACCGGAUGAUAUUUUGAACCGCAUGGUUCAAAAGUGAAAGACGGUCUUGCUGUCACUUAUAGAUGGAUCCGCGCUGCAUUAGCUAGUUGGUAAGGUAACGGCUUACCAAGGCAACGAUGCAUAGCCGACCUGAGAGGGUGAUCGGCCACACUGGAACUGAGACACGGUCCAGACUCCUACGGGAGGCAGCAGUAGGGAAUCUUCCGCAAUGGGCGAAAGCCUGACGGAGCAACGCCGCGUGAGUGAUGAAGGUCUUCGGAUCGUAAAACUCUGUUAUUAGGUAAGAACAUAUGUGUAAGUAACUGUGCACAUCUUGACGGUACCUAAUCAGAAAGCCACGGCUAACUACGUG